GUCCUUCGGGACGGAGAGAGCGGCGUACGGGUGCGGAACACGUGUGCAACCUGCCUUUAUCUGGGGGAUAGCCUUUCGAAAGGAAGAUUAAUACCCCAUAACAUAUGAUACGGCAUCGUAUUAUAUUGAAAACUCCGGUGGAUAGAGAUGGGCACGCGCAAGAUUAGAUAGUUGGUGAGGUAACGGCUCACCAAGUCAGUGAUCUUUAGGGGGCCUGAGAGGGUGAUCCCCCACACUGGUACUGAGACACGGACCAGACUCCUACGGGAGGCAGCAGUGAGGAAUAUUGGACAAUGGGUGAGAGCCUGAUCCAGCCAUCCCGCGUGAAGGACUAAGGCCCUAUGGGUUGUAAACUUCUUUUAUACUGGGAUAAACCUACUUACGUGUAAGUAGCUGAAGGUACAGUAUGAAUAAGCACCGGCUAACUCCGUGCCAGCAGCCGCGGUAAUACGGAGGGUGCAAGCGUUAUCCGGAUUUAUUGGGUUUAAAGGGUCCGUAGGCGGAUCCGUAAGUCAGUGGUGAAAUCUCAUAGCUUAACUAUGAAACUGCCAUUGAUACUGCGGGUCUUGAGUGAGAUUGAGGUAGCUGGAAUAAGUAGUGUAGCGGUGAAAUGCAUAGAUAUUACUUAGAACACCAAUUGCGAAGGCAGGUUACCAAGUCUUAACUGACGCUGAGG
RNAcentral lists this ribosomal RNA (676 nucleotides) under Epilithonimonas ginsengisoli. Its description in RNAcentral is "bacterial SSU rRNA". It matches the Rfam family "Bacterial small subunit ribosomal RNA", at positions 75 to 751 of the family's 1533-position model. The record is from RNAcentral. Lineage: Bacteria; Pseudomonadati; Bacteroidota; Flavobacteriia; Flavobacteriales; Weeksellaceae.